UUUCCCGGUUGAUCCUGCCGGAGAUCACCGCUAUUGGGAUACGACUAAGCCAUGCGAGUCGAGAGGGUUCGGCCCUCGGCUGACGGCUCAGUAACACGUGGAUAAUCUUCCCUUAGGUGGAGGAUAACCUCGGGAAACUGAGAAUAAUACUCCAUAGAUCUAAGAUGCUGGAAUGCACUUAGAUUAAAAGCUCCGGCGCCUAAGGAUGAGUCUGCGGACUAUCAGGUUGUAGUCAGGGUAAGGUCCUGACUAGCCUACAACGGAUACGGGUUGUGAGAGCAAUAACCCGGAGACGAUAUCUGAGACACGAUAUCGGGCCCUACGGGGCGCAGCAGGCGCGAAACCUUCACAAUGUGCGAAAGCGCGAUGAGGGAAUCCCAAGUGCUUGCACUUAAGUGUAAGCUGUUUCUUUGUUUAAAACGCAGAGAGAGGAAGGGCUGGGUAAGACGGGUGCCAGCCGCCGCGGUAAUACCUGCAGCUCAAGUGGUGACCGCUAUUAUUGGGCCUAAAACGUUCGUAGCCUGCUGAGUAAAUGCUUGGGUAAAUCGUGCCGCUUAACGGUACGAAUUCCGGGUAGACUGCUCAGCUUGAGACCGGGAGAAGCUAGAGGUACUCCUGGGGUAGAGGUGAAAUUCUGUAAUCCUGGGGGGACCACCAGUGGCGAAGGCGUCUAGCUAGAACGGGUCUGACGGUGAGGGACGAAACCCUGGGGCGCAAACCGGAUUAGAUACCCGGGUAGUCCAGGGCGCAAACGCUGCUUGCUUGAUGUUAGCUGGGCUCCGGGCUCGGCUAGUGUCGGAGAGAAGUUGUUAAGCAAGCUGCCUGGGAAGUACGAUCGCAAGAUUGAAACUUAAAGGAAUUGGCGGGGGAGCACAGCAACGGGUGGAGCGUGCGGUUUAAUUGGAUUCAACGCCGGG
Molecule: ribosomal RNA, 917 nt
Filed under: uncultured archaeon
Lineage: Archaea
Description: bacterial SSU rRNA
Rfam family: Archaeal small subunit ribosomal RNA
Source: RNAcentral